Long non-coding RNA from Nicotiana tabacum (common tobacco), 666 nucleotides. RefSeq lists it as uncharacterized. The record is from RefSeq and is a predicted model, not a curated record. Lineage: Eukaryota; Viridiplantae; Streptophyta; Magnoliopsida; Solanales; Solanaceae.
CCUGCAUUCUAUAGUUGUAUUCUUUCUGCAGCGUUGUAUUUGGAAUGGAUAAUCCUAGAACCAAAAUAUUUCUUGUGAAUACCUAGAUGUGCACGCAACAGUCGCCUUUUCUAUGAUUGAUUACAUCUCUAUUUCAGUCUUUCUUCAUUUACUUCAUCUCUCUCAUUUUCAGCUUUUCAUUUGAUUUUCAGAUUUCUCCAUUUGCUCUUUAUUUUUAGCCUCUUCUGUUCCCGUGAUGGCGCAACUUGAGUGGAGGUGACAAAGAAAAAAUGUUAAAGUUGCAAAGGCAGAACAACAAGCAGGGCAAAUCAGGUGCAAUGGUUGAUUUCAGAUUCUUCUAUUUUCAAGCUCAUCAGAUUUCUAACUGAUAAUGGAAGCAACAACUUGACACCAUGAUUGUUAUCAAGCUCAUAAACAAUAGUAAUUCUGGAAUUGGAAGGAUGAUCAUACAAGCUAUGGGUGACUGAUGAUGCCUGAGAUCAAUUAGGUGACCUUGAGUUAUAUCAAAUUAUCUAAUGGAUAAAGUCAGACUAUAGGCUCAUAUGAGCCCAUGCAAUAUUGCAAUAAGACUAAACUCUACUUUGGAAUUCCUUUAGUGUGUGACUUUUCCCUCUUGAUGUUGAUUCCCUUCAUGAGGUAUUAUGUGUGAUUGUUUGAGGACCAUGA